Molecule: transfer RNA, 69 nt
Filed under: Tarsius lariang (Lariang tarsier)
Lineage: Eukaryota; Metazoa; Chordata; Mammalia; Primates; Tarsiidae
Description: tRNA-Glu
Rfam family: tRNA
About the family: Transfer RNA (tRNA) molecules are approximately 80 nucleotides in length. Their secondary structure includes four short double-helical elements and three loops (D, anti-codon, and T loops).
Source: RNAcentral
GUUCUUAUAGUUGAAUAACAACGGUGAUUUUUCAGGUCAUUGGUCAUGGUUUAAAUCCAUGUGGGAAUU